AUGGCAGGGGGGUCCACACUCGCCGGAGGGCGGGUCUGGAGAGGGUGGAGGAAGGGGCGAGGCAGGUGCAUCCCGAGGGAGGAGAAGCCCGCACAGCUUCCCUGCUGGCCCCCUGGGAUGGGGCUGGAAUCCAGGCUGGCACCUGGAGGCCUUGGCAUGCUGCCCUGCUCAGCAGGGUACUCGGGCCACAGCAGGGCAGCAUGCUGCCUGUCUGCCUGUCCAGGAGGGCCCGCCCAGCCUAGCCAGAGGGUGGCCGGGAAGCAAUGGUUUCAAGGAGCUGCCCAGCCCUGCCCUGGGGCCUGGGAAGCUGGAAGGGAUGCUGGGAGGGGCCCUGGGCCCCCAGCCAUCACAGCCCAGGAUCUUGGCUCUGGAGGGAACCGCUUGACACUCAGGGGGCAGCCAAGCUGGCUGGGGACCUGGCCAAGGCCUGGGCUUGGUCUGGGCCAUGGAAAGGGCCUGGGCCAUGGUUCUGGGAGGCUGGCACCCUGGGUAGUAGGCCGCCAUCCUGCCUGUCCUGGCAUCCUGGAGGGAAAGGUGGGGCCAGCCUGCGGCUGGGGAGGAAGCCCAGAGACACUGCUUCCGAGGGCCUUCCAGCCCCCAGGCUCAAGGGAGGGGAAACUGGCCCCUUGGGUCACUCCCUCCCCAAGCCCCAUUCUGGUGCCACAGUGCUACAGCUGUCCAGGCCCAGCCCACACACCCCUCCCGGGUGACCUCGGACCUCCCCCUCUGCUUCUCCUUUUCCCUGGAGCCCAGGGUGGGCCUCCUAGCUGGCCUGGCCCGCACUGGGGGAGGGGCUGCACCUGGGAGGCCCCUCCCGGGACACCCCUUGCCAAGCUCCAGCCUGGCCCAUUUUCCCCGCCCACCUCCAACUCAGCUUGGCCCUGUCUGCAGCCAGCCAAGCAGGAGACAGUGCCAGGGUCUUGGGAUGGCAUUUUGGGGAGUGUGGGGACCCCUUGGAAGCAACCCUGUUUUUCUCAGCCUUUUCUCCUCCCCCUCCUUUCCGGAGCUGCCAUUAGCGCUGACCCCCUGACCCCCUGUGCCUGCCCACCCUUCCCUGUCUGUGACCUUUGA
RNAcentral lists this long non-coding RNA (1071 nucleotides) under Callithrix jacchus (white-tufted-ear marmoset). Its description in RNAcentral is "lncRNA (ENSCJAG00000081905.1)". The record is from RNAcentral. Lineage: Eukaryota; Metazoa; Chordata; Mammalia; Primates; Cebidae.